AUGUAACGUAGAUUAUGAAUACGUACUAGAAAACAAGCCCUUAAAAACCAUAUAUACAAUAUUAUUAUAAAAUGAUGAAUAUUUUCCUUUUUUGAUUUCAGAAGAAAAUGUCCCAUCAAAUGUGAGCAGCUGAUUUGCUUAGACAAGCAGCUUAAACUGGUAGUGAGUAGAGAACUCAACUAAUCCACCAAUGAAUUCAGAUGAUUGUGAAAUGUCGGUCCAAGCUGUAGUAAGGAAUGUUCCAUAUGCCAGAUCUAGAUCAGGAAACAGCUACAUGGUACCCAGAGCUACAAAACAAUGAGGCCAGUCUGUUACAGUGUGUUGAUGAAACGUCCAAAAUGGUGUAUGAAGAGUGCAUGGACCAAAACUGCUAUUCCACUAUUACAGCUGAGGGACCUCAUUAAAAUUUGUUCAUAGUGAGGUGAUCUGUGGCUGAUUAUCUCCCUUACAUUGUUUGAUGGCGGGAUCCAUGGAGAUGUCCAGAAAAUGACCAACAUGCUGUUUGAAACUUUAAAAAAAAAUUCUGCUGCUCAGACGUUCUUCUCGGUCAGGUAAUCUGCCCUGUUCAGUCGAUAGAGCUUUCCAUUACUCCUAGAAUUUUGCACAGCAGGUUCAUUUUCCCCAUCAUGCUCAGCAGGUUGGUCCCAUCUUCUUUAAGACCCCCCAAUCUGCUCAGAGGGUUCAGGAAAGUAACUUUCUUCUUGGUGGAUGAGGCUGGAAUAGGGAAGGGAGCUAAAUCUGUUGUCAGCAUGGUCCAUCACUAUUUUCAGCAUCAUGCAUGGACAUGGAGAAAGGAUUGCGAACAUCCAUUUUGAUAACUGGACAGAAGUUAUUAGUCUGCCUAUUGUCGUUCAAUACUACAUGAUGAUCGCUGGUCACACAAAGUUUGAUCCUGACUGGCAUUUUGGUGUGUGGAAAUUGCGCUGGAGAUCCAGUAAUGUUGAAACUCUAGAGGAGGUUGCCAAGACAGUUACACACUCAUCACGUAAUGGACAUAACAUUCCACAGUUGGUGAAAGAUGAAGACAAACCCAUUAUAUUUAGAGACUGGAAGUCAUAGGUAAAGCAGUACUUCAAGCCCCUGAAGAAUCUCACAAAAUAUCACCAUUUUCCUCUUGACGCUACUAAGCCUGGGACAGUGUUACUUGACGACUCUCCCACAGUGUCUGUCAACCUGCUGAAGAGAAAAGACUUCCUUCCGUCUGUAGAUGAUGAACCAGAAGACAUGAUGUCAGCAGGACUGGAUCCAUCAAGACAGUGGUAUUUGUAUGACAACAUCAGGGAAUAUUGUAAGACAGAAAGCUCACAGAACAUUACCUGUCCUAAACCCACUGUACAGAAAUCAGAAGUGGACCUAGUACAAGAAAAUGUCAAAGCACCAUGUCUUCCAUGUAAACGAAAAGGUUUACUGUUGAGAUGAUGUUGAUGAUUGCUCCCUUAGUAUAUACCUACAUGAUCUUGAUGCAAGCAGCCUGUAUAUGUAUGUCUAAAAGUUUGACAACCAAAGAAUGUUUUAUAUAGUUGUUAUUGAAUUGUUUCCCUUUAUGGUAUAAAAUGUAUUUAGAUGAAGGCUGCUUUUUUUAUGAGUGUAUGAAUUGAACUUUGAAAAUAAACUGUUUUUUGUUAGUUCAAAUAAUUACAAAAUGUAAUUGACCCUUAAAGAGAUGUAAAUGUAUUGAUGCUGUUAUUAAGUGUGAUGAAUUGUUAUACACUUAAGUUCAAUGACAUCAGGUAUGUUAAAUGAAUUUUCUCUGUAAUGGUAAGGCAUAGACCAGUAAUAUUUUGGAUUUACAUAUUUCACAAUAUAGGCUUUCAGAAAAUGUGAUCAAUUCAAUUGAUGAUUUAUCCUCAUCUCAUGGUCACAUAUUAGACAGCAUGCGACAGUGUGCCAACUUCCCAGAUACUAAAUGUUUGAGUAUUAACUACGACUUUGGGACGAGUGGCCACUGUGAGGUGUUGGAGGCUAUAGAAGACCACGACCACUUCGUGUCACAGCCAACUGGCAUGGAAUGGUACAUGAUGACAA
Long non-coding RNA from Pecten maximus, 2025 nucleotides. RefSeq lists it as uncharacterized. NCBI's taxonomy places the organism in Eukaryota, Metazoa, Mollusca, Bivalvia, Pectinida, Pectinidae. The record is from RefSeq and is a predicted model, not a curated record. The transcript has 7 exons.